RNAcentral lists this ribosomal RNA (533 nucleotides) under uncultured eukaryote. RNAcentral's name for it is "bacterial SSU rRNA". It matches the Rfam family "Eukaryotic small subunit ribosomal RNA", at positions 21 to 549 of the family's 1831-position model. The record is from RNAcentral.
UAGUCAUAUGCUUGUCUCAAAGACUAAGCCAUGCACGUGUCAGUUUAAUUUUAACCUGGUGAAACUGCGAAUGGCUCAUUACAACAGCAAUCGUAUCCAUGCGUGUUUGUGCUACUCGGAUACCUGUAGCAAUUCUAGAGCUAAUACGUGCCAACGGCGGGGCCUUACGGCGUCGCAGGGCUUAUUCGGUUCAAAAGCUGGCGCAUUGUCGGUGAUUCAGGAUAAUUUGGAGCGGGGCGAACCCGCGAGACCCGGACCUCACGCUCUCGCAGCGGAGGCGACGCAUUCUAGUUUCUGCCCUAUCAAGUAGUUGCGAAGGUCUUGUCUUCGCAAGCUUAUGACGGGUAACGGAAAAUUAGGGUUUGACUCCGGAGAGGGGGCUUGAGAAUUGGCCACCACAUCUAAGGAAGGCAGCAGGCGCGCAAAUUCCCCAAUCCGGACAUCGGGAGGGAGUGACAAGAAAUAUUGAAGGCGGGGCGCAAGCCUUGCUUAUCGGAAUGAGAACAACUUAAUGAACUUAUCGAGUAACAAUU